ACGAACGCUGGCGGCGUGCUUAACACCUGCCAGUCGAACGGAAAGGCCCUGCUUUUGUGGGGUGCUCGAGUGGCGAACGGGUGAGUAACACGUGAGUAACCUGCCCUUGACUUUGGGAUAACUUCAGGAAACUGGGGCUAAUACCGGAUAGGAGCUCCUGCUGCAUGGUGGUGGUUGGAAAGUUUCGGCGGUUGGGGAUGGACUCGCGGCUUAUCAGCUUGUUGGUGGGGUAGUGGCUUACCAAGGCUUUGACGGGUAGCCGGCCUGAGAGGGUGACCGGCCACAUUGGGACUGAGAUACGGCCCAGACUCCUACGGGAGGCAGCAGUGGGGAAUAUUGCACAAUGGGCGGAAGCCUGAUGCAGCAACGCCGCGUGCGGGAUGACGGCCUUCGGGUUGUAAACCGCUUUCGCCUGUGACGAAGCGUGAGUGACGGUAAUGGGUAAAGAAGCACCGGCUAACUACGUG
This 467-nucleotide ribosomal RNA is filed under the name uncultured bacterium. Its description in RNAcentral is "partial 16S ribosomal RNA". It matches the Rfam family "Bacterial small subunit ribosomal RNA", at positions 29 to 507 of the family's 1533-position model. The record is from RNAcentral.